GAUGAACGCUGGCGGCGUGCCUAAUACAUGCAAGUCGAGCGGACGGACGAGAAGUUUGCUUCUCUGAUGUUAGCGGCGGACGGGUGAGUAACACGUGGAUAACCUACCUAUAAGACUGGGAUAACUUCGGGAAACCGGAGCUAAUACCGGAUGAUAUUUUGAACCGCAUGGUUCAAAAGUGAAAGACGGUCUUGCUGUCACUAAUAGAUGGAUCCGCGCUGCAUUAGCUAGUUGGUAAGGUAAUGGCUUACCAAGGCAACGAUGCAUAGCCGACCUGAGAGGGGGAUCGCCCACACUGGAACUGAGACACGGUCCAGACUCCUACGGGAGGCAGCAGUAGGGAAUCUUCCGCAAUGGGCGAAAGCCUGACGGAGCAACGCCGCGUGAGUGAUGAAGGUCUUCGGAUCGUAAAACUCUGUUAUUAGGGAAGAACAUAUGUGUAAGUAACUGUGCACAUCUUGACGGUACCUAAUCAGAAAGCCCCGGCUAACUACGUG
Molecule: ribosomal RNA, 497 nt
Filed under: uncultured bacterium
Lineage: Bacteria
Description: partial 16S ribosomal RNA
Rfam family: Bacterial small subunit ribosomal RNA
Source: RNAcentral